AUCAAAGAGCGUCUGCAGGAGUCGGAUGAUAUUCAUUCAUUAUUUGCGAGAUUUGUGCGACAAAAUCAAUAUAUUUUUCAACAAAACACGUUUAGAUAAAGAUGAAACAAAAUAAAGAUUUAAAAUGUUCAUCUCCUUAUGUACUCCCUUAUCUUUAAAAAAUCAGAUGUGAUUAAUGUCUGGCGUUGAAGGUUACAAUAUACGAAAUCUUUUUGGAGUGCAAUAGGAAGCUUAUUGAUUUCUACACUUCAAAGUUAAAGACUACAUGAGACUUUGACAGAUGGCGGGAAACCCUCAUCCACUGGUACGAACCCGGUAGAGGAAUGUCUGCAACUAAGCCGAGGGCCACUGGAUAAGGGUUGUUGAUGGUAAAACAGGUUAAAGACUACAUGAGACUUUGACAGAUGGCGGGAAACCCUCAUCCACUGGUACGAACCCGGUAGAGGAAUGUCUGCAACUAAGCCGAGGGCCACUGGAUAAGGGUUGUUGAUGGUAAAACAGGUUAAAGACUACAUGAGACUUUGACAGAUGGCGGGAAACCCUCAUCCACUGGUACGAACCCGGUAGAGGAAUGUCUGCAACUAAGCCGAGGGCCACUGGAUAAGGGUUGUUGAUGGUAAAACAGGUUAAAGACUACAUGAGACUUUGACAGAUGGCGGGAAACCCUCAUCCACUGGUACGAACCCGGUAGAGGAAUGUCUGCAACUAAGCCGAGGGCCACUGGAUAAGGGUUGUUGAUGGUAAAACAGGUUAAAGACUACAUGAGACUUUGACAGAUGGCGGGAAACCCUCAUCCACUGGUACGAACCCGGUAGAGGAAUGUCUGCAACUAAGCCGAGGGCCACUGGAUAAGGGUUGUUGAUGGUAAAACAGGUUAAAGACUACAUGAGACUUUGACAGAUGGCGGA
This is a long non-coding RNA of Dreissena polymorpha, 908 nucleotides long. RefSeq lists it as uncharacterized. The record is from RefSeq and is a predicted model, not a curated record. The transcript has 12 exons. NCBI's taxonomy places the organism in Eukaryota, Metazoa, Mollusca, Bivalvia, Myida, Dreissenidae.